AAGAGUUAGGGUCCUCUGGGCCCGACCUCCCAACCCUUUGUUUACUGAACCUCUGUUGCUUCGGCGGACCCGCCUCACGGCCGCCGGAGGAUCGCCCCCAGGCGUCCUCUGGCCAGCGCCCGCCGACAGCCACUCUCAAAACUCUUGAAUAAAUCAUGUCAUUGUCUAAGUUAUGAUGCAAGUCAAUAAAGCA
Molecule: unclassified non-coding RNA, 193 nt
Filed under: soil metagenome
Description: partial internal transcribed spacer 1
Source: RNAcentral